RNAcentral lists this ribosomal RNA (443 nucleotides) under uncultured Prevotellaceae bacterium. Its description in RNAcentral is "bacterial SSU rRNA". It matches the Rfam family "Bacterial small subunit ribosomal RNA", at positions 354 to 794 of the family's 1533-position model. Lineage: Bacteria; Pseudomonadati; Bacteroidota; Bacteroidia; Bacteroidales; Prevotellaceae. The record is from RNAcentral.
UGAGGGAAUAUUGGGUCAAUGGGCGAGAGCCUGAACCAGCCAAGUAGCGUGAGGGAUGACUGCCCUAUGGGUUGUAAACCUCUUUUGUUUGGGAAUAAAGUGCGGGACGUGUCCCGCAUUGCAUGUACCAUUUGAAUAAGGACCGGCUAAUUCCGUGCCAGCAGCCGCGGUAAUACGGAAGGUCCAGGCGUUAUCCGGAUUUAUUGGGUUUAAAGGGAGCGCAGGCGGACUUUUAAGUCAGCUGUUAAAUUCGGUGGCUCAACCAUCGCAUGCAGUUGAAACUGGAGGUCUUGAGUGUACACAGGGAUGCUGGAAUUCAUGGUGUAGCGGUGAAAUGCUCAGAUAUCAUGAAGAACUCCAAUCGCGAAGGCAGGCAUCCGGGGUACAACUGACGCUGAGGCUCGAAAGUGCGGGUAUCAAACAGGAUUAGAUACCCUGGUAGU